GCCGUCGAUGAUGAGGAGAUGGUACAAUUUAUUAUAAACGGCCUUGAUUUUGAUUACAAUCCAAUUGUAUCCUCUAUACUUGGUCGUGUUGACU
RNAcentral lists this small nucleolar RNA (94 nucleotides) under Setaria italica (foxtail millet). RNAcentral describes it as "Small nucleolar RNA Z247". It matches the Rfam family "Small nucleolar RNA Z247". From Rfam's summary of the family: Z247 is a member of the C/D class of snoRNA which contain the C (UGAUGA) and D (CUGA) box motifs. Most of the members of the box C/D family function in directing site-specific 2'-O-methylation of substrate RNAs. RNAcentral also lists the same sequence under 1 other name. Lineage: Eukaryota; Viridiplantae; Streptophyta; Magnoliopsida; Poales; Poaceae. The record is from Rfam by way of RNAcentral.